ACGAACGCUGGCGGCAGGCCUAGCACAUGCAAGUCGAGCGAGGACUUCGGUUCUAGCGGCGGACGGGUGAGUAACGCGUGGGAAUGUGCCCUUCUCUACGGAAUAGCCCUGGGAAACUGGGAGUAAUACCGUAUACGCCCUAUUGGGGAAAGAUUUAUCGGAGAAGGAUCAGCCCGCGUUGGAUUAGGUAGUUGGUGGGGUAAUGGCCUACCAAGCCGACGAUCCAUAGCUGGUUUGAGAGGAUGAUCAGCCACACUGGGACUGAGACACGGCCCAGACUCCUACGGGAGGCAGCAGUGGGGAAUCUUAGACAAUGGGGGCAACACUGAUCUAGCCAUGCCGCGUGAGUGAUGAAGGCCUUAGGGUUGUAAAGCUCUUUCAGCUGGGAAGAUAAUGACGGUACCAGCAGAAGAAGCCCCGGCUAACUCCGUG
This 432-nucleotide ribosomal RNA is filed under the name uncultured bacterium. RNAcentral describes it as "partial 16S ribosomal RNA". It matches the Rfam family "Bacterial small subunit ribosomal RNA", at positions 29 to 507 of the family's 1533-position model. The record is from RNAcentral.